CUGAAAUAAUUUUAGUUUUAUACAGAGUACUAAAAGAAAUUUACAUGUUGCGGAACGUGAUUACAUGAUAGAUUGUGUAACAUAAUCAAUGUAUUUAUGUACAGAACAAAUGAAAAAUGCAAGUGGUUUUAACUUUUAAGUGUGCUUAUCACUAUCAAAAAAAGGUAACACAAGUGUACGGGAUACUCCCGUAGGCCCAAUUCUAUACCAGAAUAUCAUAUUCUAGUGUUAUGGGCUCAAAGUGCAAUAAAGGCCAAGGCCCAAUCUAUGACCUAAUACUCCAUCAAACCCCUAUAAAUACUCAUUUAUGGGGGAAGGUAAACUUAACUUCUCUACACUCUCUACCCCCUCCUCUCUGUACUCCAUCUCUUUUAUGAUAUAUUACUAAUGUUGGGCGUCGGAGGCUCCGAUCCGGGGAACCUCCCUCGGGUUCGGGGUUUACUUUGCAAGAAAUCACCUCCACAUUCAAGAUAUGAAGAUCCGACCACACCACCGAUUCCAAUACGAAGGAGGGGCACAAUAACAAAUCAUUGUGCCACGAAUAUCCGAUUGGAGUAGAGAAAGAGAGUUCACUGCCAAACUCAAGUUAAAAACAAAACUGACUUAUUCAAUCUACCACUAGAAUUCACAAAACCAUACGUUACCUGACUGGAGGGUAUUUCCAUAUUCCAGAUCUAAAGUUAACAUAGCACAUAGUUCUUCUCCUCGAACAUAUCAAAGAAGUUGAUGAAAAAACCAUUGCAAAAUCAAAGAGCCGACUUUACCUUCUAUGCAAACACAAAUAGCCGGCUGUUAAGCAUCAAUUAUGGGUAAAGAAAUUGACCACAGUAUAUUGUCGGUCAAUUUAAAGAAGAAGACGGAAAGUUAAGCAUCAAUUGUGGGUAAAGAAGUUGCUCAACGUGAGUAUUAAAGCAACAGGAAGGGUUCAGAUGCCAAAAGAACCGAUUAAAUCAACGCUAUCGGUGCUUCUCCUACCGACUGGUAUGCUACCGGCGUCACCGGAUGAGUGCCGUUUUGGUCCGCUAAAGGUGCUUAAUCCAACCAUUGCCUCGCAUUUUCCGAGUUGAAGUCUAGUCAAUCCCAUGAUAACCUAUGAAAGACAUUUCAUCAUUUACGGACGUAAGCAGAAAAUUUCUGAAAAACGGAUAAGCGGGCAACAAUUACAACACUUCAUCGUGCGCUAAGCAGGAAAACUCUGAAAAGAUAAGCUUGCAGCAAUUACGAUAAAAGUCAGGAAAGUCUCCCUAAAUCCUUAUUGUAUAUGCUUGAUGUUAAGUAUGGUUAUACGUGAUUAUAUGCAUGAGAAGGGAACUGCUUCUUAAUUAUUCAUUACACUCACAUGAAGUAUGUGGUUCAGUGGUUACACUCCUAAGACACAAAGUCAACCUAAAAAGAAAGAGAAAAGCACUAUGAUCUUAAGGUGAUAUGUUGUUCCAACUAUGUUAGCUAGUACCAAUCAUGAUGUAUGUUGCAACGAAUCAGGCUUAGAGGUGUCAAGUUUCAAUAAGGUUAAGCCUUUAGCGACUUGACUAAUCGGAAGUAAUCGUGUCCAAUUCUCUUGUAUGUUGUUAGUUGUAGCCAACAAAUACAGUCGUCGUGGAAUAAAACAUUUAAUAUGGACUCAUCUAA
Spinacia oleracea (spinach) is the source of this 1629-nucleotide long non-coding RNA. RefSeq lists it as uncharacterized. The record is from RefSeq and is a predicted model, not a curated record. NCBI's taxonomy places the organism in Eukaryota, Viridiplantae, Streptophyta, Magnoliopsida, Caryophyllales, Amaranthaceae. The transcript has 2 exons.